Molecule: ribosomal RNA, 462 nt
Filed under: uncultured bacterium
Lineage: Bacteria
Description: partial 16S ribosomal RNA
Rfam family: Bacterial small subunit ribosomal RNA
Source: RNAcentral
GACGAACGCUGGCGGCGUGCUUAACACAUGCAAGUCGAACGGAAAGGCCCUUCGGGGUACUCGAGCGGCGAACGGGUGAGUAACACGUGAGUAACCUGCCCCAGACUUUGGGAUAACCCUCGGAAACGGGGGCUAAUACCGGAUACGACACAGCUUCGCAUGGGGUCUGUGUGGAAAGUUUUUCGGUUUGGGAUGGGCUCGCGGCCUAUCAGCUUGUUGGUGGGGUGAUGGCCUACCAAGGCGACGACGGGUAGCCGGCCUGAGAGGGCGACCGGCCACACUGGGACUGAGACACGGCCCAGACUCCUACGGGAGGCAGCAGUGGGGAAUAUUGCACAAUGGGCGGAAGCCUGAUGCAGCGACGCCGCGUGAGGGAUGACGGCCUUCGGGUUGUAAACCUCUUUCAGCAGGGACGAAGCGUAAGUGACGGUACCUGCAGAAGAAGCGCCGGCCAACUACGUG